Molecule: ribosomal RNA, 332 nt
Filed under: uncultured eukaryote
Lineage: Eukaryota
Description: partial 18S ribosomal RNA
Rfam family: Eukaryotic small subunit ribosomal RNA
Source: RNAcentral
CCCUUAGAUGUUCUGGGCUGCACACGUGCUACACUGGCAGGUUCAGCGAGCUUCAUGCCCUGAUCUGAAAGGAAUGGGAAAUCUUUUCAAAACCUGCCGUGCUUGGGAUAGAUGUUGGCAAUUAUUCAUCUUCAACGAGGAUUGCCUUGUAAGCGCACGUCAUCAGCGUGCAUUGAAUACGACCCUGUAUUCUGUACACACCGCCCGUCGCUCCUACCGAUUGAAGUUUUCGGUGAGUUGACAGGAGGAUUUUUUUGAAACUGGUUCGCCAGUGGAUUUUAGAUCCAAAUGCCAACGAAUCGAUGGCUUUAGAGGAAGGAGAAGUCGUAACA